This 499-nucleotide ribosomal RNA is filed under the name uncultured Sphingobacteriales bacterium. RNAcentral's name for it is "bacterial SSU rRNA". It matches the Rfam family "Bacterial small subunit ribosomal RNA", at positions 904 to 1382 of the family's 1533-position model. The record is from RNAcentral. Lineage: Bacteria; Pseudomonadati; Bacteroidota; Sphingobacteriia; Sphingobacteriales.
GCCACGCCCGCUCAAGAAACUCAAGGAAUUGACGGGGCCCGCACAAGCGGAGGAGCAUGUGGUUUAAUUCGAUGAUACGCGAGGAACCUUACCUGGGCUCGAACGUAAGAUGACUGUAGGUGAAAGCUUACAUCUCUUCGGAGCAUUUUACGAGGUGCUGCAUGGUUGUCGUCAGCUCGUGCCGUGAGGUGUCGGGUUAAGUCCCAUAACGAGCGCAACCCCUGCCUUUAGUUGCCAUCAGGUUAAGCUGGGGACUCUAAAGGAACUGCCUACGCAAGUAGUGAGGAAGGCGGGGAUGACGUCAAAUCAGCACGGCCCUUACGUCCAGGGCUACGCACGUGCUACAAUGGCCGAUACAGAGGGCAGCUACCUGGUGACAGGAUGCAAAUCUCCAAAGUCGGUCUCAGUUCGGAUCGGAGUCUGCAACCCGACUCCGUGAAGUUGGAUUCGCUAGUAAUCGCGCAUCAGCCAUGGCGCGGUGAAUACGUUCCCGGGCCUU